This 366-nucleotide ribosomal RNA is filed under the name uncultured bacterium. Its description in RNAcentral is "bacterial SSU rRNA". It matches the Rfam family "Bacterial small subunit ribosomal RNA", at positions 30 to 402 of the family's 1533-position model. The record is from RNAcentral.
AUUGAACGCUGGCGGCAUGCCUUACACAUGCAAGUCGAACGGUAACAGGUUAAGCUGACGAGUGGCGAACGGGUGAGUAAUAUAUCGGAACGUGCCCAGUAGUGGGGGAUAGCCCGGCGAAAGCCGGAUUAAUACCGCAUACGACCUACGGGGUGAAAGGGGGGGAUCGCAAGACCUCUCGCUAUUGGAGCGGCCGAUAUCAGAUUAGCUAGUUGGUGGGGUAAAGCUCACCAAGGCGACGAUCUGUAGCUGGUCUGAGAGGACGACCAGCCACACUGGGACUGAGACACGGCCCAGACUCCUACGGGAGGCAGCAGGUGGGGAAUUUUGGACAAUGGACGCAAGUCUGAUCCAGCCAUGCCGCGU